UCGUGUCACAAUGUGAGUUACCAUACUUCUCGGAAAUGGCUGCACCGAUUUUUAUGAAAUUUUGUGUGCAUAUCGGGUAGCUCUGAGAAUUGGCCAACAU
Molecule: long non-coding RNA, 100 nt
Organism: Melitaea cinxia (Glanville fritillary)
Lineage: Eukaryota; Metazoa; Arthropoda; Insecta; Lepidoptera; Nymphalidae
Exons: 3
Source: RefSeq, a predicted model, not a curated record